RNAcentral lists this ribosomal RNA (229 nucleotides) under uncultured archaeon. Its description in RNAcentral is "partial 16S ribosomal RNA". It matches the Rfam family "Archaeal small subunit ribosomal RNA", at positions 23 to 246 of the family's 1478-position model. The record is from RNAcentral.
GCCACUGCUAUUGGGGUUCGGCUAAGCCAUGCGAGUGGAGGGCGUCCCGCAAGGGAUGGCCCCGCAGACGGCCCAGUAACACGUCGUCAACCCACCUUAGGGUGGGGGACAACCUCGGGAAACUGAGGAUAAUCCCCCAUAGGCGGGGGAGGCUGGAAUGCGCCCCCGCUGAAAGCUCAGGCGCCCUAGGACGGGACGGCGGCCUAAUCAGGUAGUUGGUGGUGUGACG